UUGGGUUAAGUCCCGCAACGAGCGCAACCCUUGUCUUUAGUUGCCAUCAUUUAGUUGGGCACUCUAAAGAGACUGCCGGUGUCAAACCGGAGGAAGGUGGGGGAUGACGUCAAGUCCUCAUGGCCUUUAUGACCAGGGCUACACACGUACUACAAUGGCCGGUACAAAGGGCAGCCACUUAGCGAUAAGGAGCCAAUCCCGUAAAGCCGGUCUCAGUCCGGAUUGGAGUCUGCAACUCGACUCCAUGAAGUUGGAAUCGCUAGUAAUCGCAGAUCAGCACGCUGCGGUGAAUACGUUCCCGGGCCUU
RNAcentral lists this ribosomal RNA (307 nucleotides) under uncultured Desulfocapsa sp. Its description in RNAcentral is "bacterial SSU rRNA". It matches the Rfam family "Bacterial small subunit ribosomal RNA", at positions 1075 to 1382 of the family's 1533-position model. The record is from RNAcentral. Lineage: Bacteria; Pseudomonadati; Thermodesulfobacteriota; Desulfobulbia; Desulfobulbales; Desulfocapsaceae.